GCCAGCGUGGCGCAACGGUAGCGCAGCAGUUUUGUAAACUGCAUGUUGCAGGUUCGAAUCCUGUCGCUGGCUCCA
This 75-nucleotide transfer RNA is filed under the name Candidatus Gordonibacter avicola. Its description in RNAcentral is "tRNA-Thr". It matches the Rfam family "tRNA". From Rfam's summary of the family: Transfer RNA (tRNA) molecules are approximately 80 nucleotides in length. Their secondary structure includes four short double-helical elements and three loops (D, anti-codon, and T loops). RNAcentral also lists the same sequence under 2 other names. The record is from RNAcentral. Lineage: Bacteria; Bacillati; Actinomycetota; Coriobacteriia; Eggerthellales; Eggerthellaceae.